Molecule: ribosomal RNA, 163 nt
Filed under: Bacteroides ovatus
Lineage: Bacteria; Pseudomonadati; Bacteroidota; Bacteroidia; Bacteroidales; Bacteroidaceae
Description: partial 16S ribosomal RNA
Rfam family: Bacterial small subunit ribosomal RNA
Source: RNAcentral
UUAAAUUGAAGAGUUUGAUCAUGGCUCAGAUUGAACGCUGGCGGCAGGCCUAACACAUGCAAGUCGAACGGUAACAGGAAGCAGCUUGCUGUUUCGCUGACGAGUGGCGGACGGGUGAGUAAUGUCUGGGAAACUGCCUGAUGGAGGGGGAUAACUACUGGAA